Molecule: long non-coding RNA, 4075 nt
Filed under: Coffea arabica (coffee)
Lineage: Eukaryota; Viridiplantae; Streptophyta; Magnoliopsida; Gentianales; Rubiaceae
Description: long non-coding RNA (CARA_LNC002867)
Source: RNAcentral
CUGACUCUUUUCCUUCUCAAACCAGCCGUGCAACACCAAGAGAAGGAGACCAAAAUUCCUUCUUCAUUCACCUCUCAAACUUGCACCAAAUCACUUGAAAUUUCUACCACAAACUCACAACAGCUUGGAGAUUCAUCUAGGCAAGGAGAGGAGCUUCAUUUCCACGGUUUUCUUGAGGCUCAAAGUGACCAAAAAUUUCUGAUCUAGUCAUCCAAGAAGGUAGCAAAUCAUCCAACCCAUAGAUCUUAGUUUUUGUAAGAUAUAUUGCACACAUAAUGUUAUAUAAUCAUGUGGGUAGCUUUGUUUAUGGUGUAAAAUGAAAUGGGUGGGUUCGAUGAACUCCUACCUUUGUCUUGGGGACUGAUCUCAUGCUUGAUGAUGAAAUUAAUGGUGGUUUAGUGCUUAAAUUAGUGGAUUAAUGUUAUAUUGUUGGUAGAAAAUCAAAGGAGGUGCUUGGAGCAAAAGUGACCGUUUUACCCCUGCCUUGUCCGACCAUUUUUGUGCAAAAUUUUGAGAUUCUAAUGACUUGAUUAUGUUGUUUACAUGUUAUUGUGAGUGUGUACAAAAUUUCAUUGAAAAAUAACAUGAUUUGGUUGGCCAAAUGAGUUGAUUUCCAAAGUUAGCAAAACUGGAAAAUGAAUCCCGUAUUGCCCAGGCAGUCAUUUUGUAUCGGCCAUAACUCUUUGGUCUGAUGUCGAAAUUGAGUGCCGUUGGUGGCAUUUGAAACUAGACAUUCCCAGCUUUCCAUUGGUACCAAAUGCACGUUCUAGUUCUACUUGAGUGAGCCACACCAUUCGAUUGAAAAUCACUGUCCUGUUUCGUUUCUCUCCAGGAGACAGGACAGGACUUGUAUCUUGAUGCUAAAAAACGAGCUGGUUGUGGAUAGAAUUUGAAAAUGGUUUCUUCUGAUAAAAUUCAUCUUUAUGAGAGAGCUUUCCAACGCCAUCAACCAUGUCCAAUUCCAAGUUGAAUUGAGUGAGUUGUGGCCAAAGUUUGAAACUGCUACAGUGAUAGAAUUUUCCACUUGGACAGAUUUGUAACUAACAAUGAUUUGGGACUUGUUGUUUUGGAAAGUUUGUUGUCCAACAUCUACCAAACUUUAUAUUAGAUGUUCCUUGGACUUUGUUUCACAAAUAAACCAGAUUCGGGUUGGUUACUUUGGACAAAAUGUUUAAAAAGGAAAGAAGAGCUAGAACACAGUUUUAUCUUGGGAAAUUUCUUGAACUUUGAUGGUUUAGUUAACUACCUUCCCGUGUGAAUUUUCAAAUAAAAUUUGAUAGAAGAGUAAUCCUCAUAUGGAAGUUUAAUUGUGCAAAAUUUGGUAAUAUUCUAAGAUCAUUUUGAUACGCAAAUGAUGUCACAAAAUUCGCUCAUCGAACCUGGAAAACUUUUCGUUUUCUCUUAGCCAAUUGGUCAAAUCUGAUUUGGGGAAUUUUAUUUCGAAAAUUUGGAUGUCAAUGGUCUUUAAAUUACUCAGUGGAUGUUUAUGAACUCUUGGUUUCAAUAAUGGAGAGAUUUGAAACUGAUUUCAUGGUACAAAAAGUUUGUAAACAAAAGAAAAGUGAGAAGGUAGUUUAGCCUUGAAACUCUUCAAAAACUUUGGUUGUUUUAAUGAUUGCUUUACCGUGAGAGUUUUUGUAUGAAACUUGGUAGAAAUGUUGUUCACACAUGGGAGAUUUAGUGUACCAAGUUUGAUGUAUUUCCAAUGCUAACUCGAUGACCAAAUGAUACUUUGAAUCUAGUCUUCAAACCUGGAAAAUAGCCCAACAGUCUUAACUUUUUCAGCAACUUGGGGCUACUAUAUCUUGGUACUCAAAACUCCGAUUCUUGUUUCGCCUAUUGUGUUUUAAACCUUGUUUGCAACUCUAAUUGAGUUCCAAAUUUCAAAGGUUAGUUCAGAACAAGUGAAUUUUGCCGAAUUUCCAAAAUUGGCCAAAAACCAACUUAAAUCUGUCUUGGUAAUUCAAGUUACCAAUUUUGAGCCUAAAUUUGAGUGCCUUUCACUUACAUUCGUGGAAAAGUGUCUUCUAAGAACUUUUAGUACUUACAAAGGGGUUUCCAACAGUAUCAAGUUUUCUAAUUUUGGACUUGUAGAGAGUGAGAUAUGAUUUUUCAAAAAUUGCUUGUUAAAUCUGGAAUUUUUCUAAUUUAAAGGAAACUAAGGGUUUCGAACUCUCCCUUUUCCUUCAAUAUCAUUUGAUCGUUUUACAUUUGAUUUCAGAGAUAGAAAUUAGAUUUGUCUUGUGUUUUAAAAUCCCACUUUUGAACCUCGAGUUACUCGAAUUCUUAGACUCGUCUCCGCGUUAAUUUUUUAGAUUGUACUAGUGUACAAUCUUCCUCGAUAAUUAGAGCGAUAUUGAGUGGUAGUUAAUUAUUGUUUGCUCAGGCACUCGAAGGAACCUUCAAGAGGAUCUCGGAGCGGACACCUAAAACGCCUGUUUGAGAACUACUCGCUUGUUUUGACUAGGUGAGUGUUCCAUAUAGGAAUACGUAAAUGAAUAAGUCUAGAACAUGCUUAUUUCAUGAUUAUUAAAUGUUAAGUACUAUGUGUUAAGUAAUUACCAUAUUCAUGCCUAUUUACGGAAGUAUACUUGCAUUGCAUAUCUACAUGAAUUGGUUAAAUGAUUAACCAUAUCAAAUGACCAUAUGAACUCGAUACAUGCUUAACUUGCUAGAUUGCUUGCUUAGCUUAUUCGGUUUUGAAAAAUGGGGUCGAGUGUGUAUUUUAUCGCACUCGUUCUCUUUUGAGAUGAAUAACUCAUGCAUGGAAAUGAUCGAAUAACAUGACUUGGUAUGCUAUGGUUGCAUACGUCGUUGGAGUGAAUCUCCUCGACUCUCGCAUGGUAAAAAUAGGAUAACGGCCAAUGAUGGCCUAUUCAUAUGACAAAUGCCUGUCAAUUAACCGUCACUACUCAACCGUUAACCGUUAACCGUGAACCGUUUACCAACCCACAUGACUACUUGAUUACUUGACUAUCUGCUCACAUGAUUUCCAAUCUACAUGGCUAUUCGAUAUCCGUGAAUUACAUGCUCCCAUGAAAUCAACUUGUAUUGCUUACGUGCUUACGUGCUAAGUAUCCACUUGAUUACUUGAUUAUCAUGAAUUACAUGUUAUAUGAAACUGUCCAUCAUUAUUAGGCGAGUGUGUACUUUACCUCACUUGACCUACUCAAAUGAUGAAUUUUACCUUUUGUUGAAUUACUUGGUUACCUGUGCAUGUUGUAAGUUCUAAGCUGAACUUGGGCCCUGCCCUUGGUUACUGACCUACUCGAGCCAGGACUGGGCUCGGUCGGGCAGAUUGGAACCCUGGGCCACCGUUUCGGUAUACUCGAGUAUUACCACUGGAGGAAUAAGGUGAUGGCCAGUCCAACCGAGGGGAUCCGGAAGUCAUAAGGUGCAGAUGACCGACAGAAUUUCACUGGAACACCGUAUCCUACCGUAUAUAUUUACCUUGUAUCAUGAUAAUUGUUUCAUGCUAAAAUGCCAACAUGAAAUCCUGAGUUAUGCCUGUGAUAUGCUCCAUACCUAUUACCUGACCAAUGUACUCAUAUCAUGAUACCUGUCUCAUGAUAAAUGUCUCAUACCAUGAUAAAUGUCUCAAAUUACUCGUACAAUGAUUAUCACCUCAUGAUAACAUGCCAUUGUGCAACAUUGAACCAUGCAUGUGAUAUACCCAACUUACUUGAUUUAUUUGAACUGUUAGAGUGUCUUGGAACCUCAUUGAGCUGUGUAGCUCAUCCCACGUUGUGGUUUUCUUUUACAGGGUUCGAGACCAAGGGUGCUCGUGAGUAGUACUAGAUUGUUUUCUUUUGCAGACUUUAAAUUAUAUUAUAACGGAUGGCUAUUGUACCCUUUUCCGUUGGGUUGUAUUUAAGCUUAAAAGCUGCAUAAUUGUAAGUGUGAGAUAUUUGAAGUACUUUAAUUAUGAAUUGAGGUUACUUAAAGUAUUUCGAGCUUUUGAAUGAUGGAUUGUAGUGAGUCCUGGCGAGAGUUGGGCAGGCGUCCCGCGGAUACUCUUUGGUUCGCCUUAGGGAGAAGUGGGGGCGUCACACUAAUAAAUCUCCACCUUGACGAA